UAUUUUUCUGUCCAUCAAAAAAAAACAGAAAUAAAUUAUUUGUUGCCUUUAAACUUUUAAAAUUUAUUUAUUGUUUUCGGCUUUUUUGGCAAUUUAGUUGUUUCGCUUAAAAGAUUCAGACAGUCCUGAGUGUGACAUCGACAAUAUGAAAUAAUAAUAAUUAGAUUUACUCACGCAUUCUUUAUAUUUAAUAUUUAAUCAUCUCUCAAAGAACUGCUGCAAGCAUCACUGUCUUCGUUGGAAUACCUAUUCAAAAGAUUUAGACGACAAUGAAUUCUGAAUUCCGUAAAAAGAAAAUCAAUUUUUUUUUUCUAAAAAUACAUGUAUGUGAACAUGUGUGUUUCACUGUGAAUCGUAUUUAAAUAUAUUUAAAAAAUGAAUAUAUUAUCACUUAAUCCAUGUAAAUAUUGUUUUGUCGCCUGAGUGUCUCUCGGCAACAGCCAACAUUCGACUACGGCAGCGCACCGUAAUGAAUUUCGCAACGUACUUCCAAUAUCUUUCAUCCUUUGUGGCAAAGGGUUCCAAGGGCGAACAGCAAAAACAAAGAACCGACGCUCUGAUGCACGGAAACUGUAUUUCAUGCUAAAAAAAAUCACUCAGCAUUUACGGAAGGUCCCAUUAUCUUUGGAUGAAUAAGCUAACCAAGCGUAUUUCUGCAACCAAGCUCAUUGGAAUUUUAAAUUUCGUGGUCCGGAUGAAGGAGACUUGAAGGUAUCGCAAAAAAUCCAGAUCUUGCUUUGAAGGCCAACAAUUGAGUCUAUGUUAUCAGCAGUUAAUUCAAUGACAAUAGAUUCAGUGUAAUAUUUAUGAAUGGGUACUGUAGAGAUCGACGCAGAACUCACUGUAACUUCACGAGGAGCCUCCAACUAAAUUGAUAAUGAUGAGAAAAAUAAAUAGUUAUCGGAAGCGCA
Long non-coding RNA from Ceratitis capitata (Mediterranean fruit fly), 911 nucleotides. RefSeq lists it as uncharacterized. Lineage: Eukaryota; Metazoa; Arthropoda; Insecta; Diptera; Tephritidae. The transcript has 3 exons. The record is from RefSeq and is a predicted model, not a curated record.